RNAcentral lists this ribosomal RNA (465 nucleotides) under uncultured bacterium. RNAcentral describes it as "partial 16S ribosomal RNA". It matches the Rfam family "Bacterial small subunit ribosomal RNA", at positions 339 to 795 of the family's 1533-position model. The record is from RNAcentral.
CUACGGGAGGCUGCAGUGGGGAAUUUUGCGCAAUGGGCGAAAGCCUGACGCAGCGACGCCGCGUGAGGGAAGAAGGCCUUCGGGUCGUAAACCUCUGUCAGAGGGGAAGAAAUUAUCAGUGGUUAAUACCCACUGGUAUUGACGGUACCCUCAGAGGAAGCAUCGGCUAACUACGUGCCAGCAGCCGCGGUAAUACGUAGGAUGCAAGCGUUGUUCGGAAUCACUGGGUGUAAAGAGCGCGUAGGUGGCCUGAUAAGUCAGUGGUGAAAGCCCUCGGCUCAACCGAGGAACUGCCCCUGAUACUGUCAGGCUUGAGUACGGGAGAGGAAAGCGGAAUUCCUGGUGUAGCGGUGAAAUGCGUAGAUAUCAGGAGGAACACCGGUGGCGAAGGCGGCUUUCUGGACCGAUACUGACACUGAGGCGCGAAAGCGUGGGUAGCAAACAGGAUUAGAUACCCCGGUAGUC